GAGCGCCCGCAAGGGGAGCGGCGGACGGGUGAGUAACGCGUGGGAACGUACCCUUUGCUACGGAAUAGCCUCGGGAAACUGGGAGUAAUACCGUAUGUGCCCUUCGGGGGAAAGAUUUAUCGGCAAAGGAUCGGCCCGCGUUGGAUUAGGUAGUUGGUGGGGUAAUGGCCUACCAAGCCGACGAUCCAUAGCUGGUUUGAGAGGAUGAUCAGCCACACUGGGACUGAGACACGGCCCAGACUCCUACGGGAGGCAGCAGUGGGGAAUCUUAGACAAUGGGCGCAAGCCUGAUCUAGCCAUGCCGCGUGAUCGAUGAAGGCCUUAGGGUUGUAAAGAUCUUUCAGUGGGGAAGAUAAUGACUGUACCCACAGAAGAAGCCCCGGCUAACUCCGUGCCAGCAGCCGCGGUAAUACGGAGGGGGCUAGCGUUGUUCGGAAUUACUGGGCGUAAAGCGCACGUAGGCGGACAGAGAAGUCAGAGG
This 481-nucleotide ribosomal RNA is filed under the name uncultured bacterium. RNAcentral's name for it is "bacterial SSU rRNA". It matches the Rfam family "Bacterial small subunit ribosomal RNA", at positions 64 to 594 of the family's 1533-position model. The record is from RNAcentral.